AGAAAAGUCAGCUAAAACACCUAAGCUAAUGGGUUCAUACCCCGUAAAUAGAGUAAACACUCUCUUCUCUG
RNAcentral lists this transfer RNA (71 nucleotides) under Termitogeton planus. Its description in RNAcentral is "tRNA-Met". The record is from RNAcentral. Lineage: Eukaryota; Metazoa; Arthropoda; Insecta; Blattodea; Rhinotermitidae.